UGCCCUAUGGAGUCCGGCAGAAUCACGUAGAUGAAAACCGGCAGCGUCUGACUCUGGAUCAGAAGAGUCCAGGUUCGAGCCCUGGAGGGGCAA
Molecule: transfer RNA, 93 nt
Filed under: Gemmatimonadaceae bacterium
Lineage: Bacteria; Pseudomonadati; Gemmatimonadota; Gemmatimonadia; Gemmatimonadales; Gemmatimonadaceae
Description: tRNA-Gln
Source: RNAcentral